AAGAUGUGCAAGAGCUUAUAUUUACCCAGGUGCCUAAACUGCUGAAAGCCCUAAUUCCAAUUCAGACAAUGCAUCUUACCAUUAUUGUAACUCAUCUGAAAACAGAAGAUGAUAUUAAAAGGGCUAUUUCUGCUCUCGAGCACAGCAAGGCUGAAGUGCAAGCUCUGUUGCAGAGGGAACUCUUCAGCAUGACAUUUCGUGGGAUCGGCCAGUUUAACAACAAAGUGAUUUAUGUUAAAAUGUCAGCAGAUGAACAGCAAAUGCUAAGCAAAAUUGAAGGAAUUGUAGCAAACUCUUUUAUGGAAAUGAAUAUAGUUAUAUUACAAGCAGCAGAGACUUCAAACCACACCUGACAUUUCUAAAGCUCUCCAAAGCCUCUGCACUGAGACGGAAGGGCUUCAGAAAAAUUUAUAAAGGCUUGUAUAUGGAAUAUAAAGAUACUCCUUUUGGCACAGAGCUAUUAAGACGAAUUGAUCUCUGUGCCAUGCAUAAAAAAAAGCAAGAUUCUGGUUACUAUCACUGUGAAUAUUCAAUUAAUAUAUGCCCCAUAAAUUCUGAAGAUAAUAGAAACAUGGAACAGCAGGCUGAUGCCCUGAAAGAAAAGUGAACCAGGUGUUCCUUUAAAUUAUGGUGCAUAUAAAGUUAUUAAAACAGUACAUGGAGACAAUGAUCUUGCUGCUCAAUGAAAUUGUAAUGAAGCUGGAAAACUUGCUGGAGACUCCGUAAUCAGGAGGAAGUGAAGAUA
Molecule: long non-coding RNA, 745 nt
Organism: Candoia aspera
Lineage: Eukaryota; Metazoa; Chordata; Lepidosauria; Squamata; Candoiidae
Exons: 4
Source: RefSeq, a predicted model, not a curated record